This 240-nucleotide unclassified non-coding RNA is filed under the name soil metagenome. RNAcentral's name for it is "partial contains 5.8S ribosomal RNA, internal transcribed spacer 2, and large subunit ribosomal RNA". The record is from RNAcentral.
AACCUUAUGGACCUGCGGGCGUAUACCUGCGGAGGGAUCAUUACAGAGUUGCAAAACUCCCUAAACCAUUGUGAACGUUACCUAAACCGUUGCUUCGGCGGGCGGCCCGGGUCCUUCCCGGCGCCCCUCGGCCCUCGCGGGCGCCCGCCGGAGGUAAACCAAACUAUUGCAUUGUAUGGCCUCUCUGAGUCUUCUGUACUGAAUAAGUCAAAACUUUCAACAACGGAUCUCAGAUCGGAA